UACAGAGGUCUCAAGCGUUGUUCGGAUUCAUUGGGCGUAAAGGGUGCGUAGGCGGCGCGGUAAGUCGGGUGUGAAAUCUCGGAGCUUAACUCCGAAACUGCAUUCGAUACUGCCGUGCUUGAGGACUGGAGAGGAGACUGGAAUUUACGGUGUAGCGGUGAAAUGCGUAGAUAUCGUAAGGAAGACCAGUGGCGAAGGCGGGUCUCUGGACAGUUCCUGACGCUGAGGCGACGAAAGGCGUGGGGAGCGAACCGG
This 255-nucleotide ribosomal RNA is filed under the name uncultured bacterium. RNAcentral describes it as "partial 16S ribosomal RNA". It matches the Rfam family "Bacterial small subunit ribosomal RNA", at positions 524 to 776 of the family's 1533-position model. The record is from RNAcentral.